Molecule: ribosomal RNA, 413 nt
Filed under: uncultured bacterium
Lineage: Bacteria
Description: partial 16S ribosomal RNA
Rfam family: Bacterial small subunit ribosomal RNA
Source: RNAcentral
UAUUGCGCAAUGGAGGGAACUCUGACGCAGCGACGCCGCGUGAGCGAUGAAGGUUUUCGGAUCGUAAAGCUCUGUCCCUGAGGAAGAAGGCGGCAAUUUUUGGCCACUUGACGGUACCCAAGGAGGAAGACCCGGCGAACUACGUGCCAGCAGCCGCGGGAAUACGUAGGGGGCAGGCGUUGUCCGGAAUUAUUGGGCGUAAAGGGGGCGUAGGCGGCCGUUUAAGUCAGAUGUGAAAGACCACGGCUUAACCGUGGGGUUGCAUUUGAAACUGGAGGGCUUGAGUAUCGGAGAGGGUAGUGGAAUUCCCAGUGUAGCGGUGGAAUGCGUAGAUAUUGGGAGGAACACCAGUGGCGAAGGCGACUACCUGGACGAAAACUGACGCUGAGGCACGAAAGCUAGGGGAGCAAACA